GCUUUCUUAGUAUAAAAGUAUGUUUGGCUUCCAACCAAAAGGUCUAAGAAUCUCUUAGAGUAAGUA
This 66-nucleotide transfer RNA is filed under the name Trachypenaeus curvirostris. RNAcentral's name for it is "tRNA-Gly". It matches the Rfam family "tRNA". From Rfam's summary of the family: Transfer RNA (tRNA) molecules are approximately 80 nucleotides in length. The record is from RNAcentral. Lineage: Eukaryota; Metazoa; Arthropoda; Malacostraca; Decapoda; Penaeidae.